This 340-nucleotide long non-coding RNA is filed under the name Homo sapiens (human). RNAcentral describes it as "HSALNT0109911". Lineage: Eukaryota; Metazoa; Chordata; Mammalia; Primates; Hominidae. The record is from RNAcentral.
GGUGAUGGUGGUGGGGUAACGGGCCCAGGGCCUAAGGAUAUGAUGCCCCCUGGGAUUGCUGAUGAGGUGGUGGCCUAUGUCAGUAUCCUCUGUGCGAGUGUAGUGACCAGCAGACUCUAGAUGUGCUCCCUCAGUUAUCCACAGUUGGCAUGGGCAUUUGGAAAGGAGACGGGUGGAUCUGCAUAUAGAUUUCUGUCCAAUUAUAGUGCCAUAAGCUGGAAUGGUGUCUCAUCAACCCAAUGGGAUGCUCUUUCUCAGUGAGUAUAGACAUGAGACGUAUAGAGAAGUAAUCAGCAAACACUAAAGCAACAGAUGCUGAGGGACUCAGAGAAGCAAAACA